GCCCAGCGCUGAAAUCCUCUAGCCGUUGGCUAGUUGGAACUGUAGCGUAUAGGUGUGAACGCUCGGCUGCGUCGCGCGCCCAAAGUUCCCUUGAGCGGGGCUACAGUCCGUAGAAGGUGCUAGACCUGUACGGGCGGUGGGGCGGUCGACAGUUCAUACUUUGGAGUCGGGUUGCCUGAGAUCGCAGCCCAAAGAGGGUGGUAAACCUCAUCUAAGGCUAAAUACGGCCACGAGACCGAUAGCAAACAAGUACCGUGAGGGAAAGUUGCAAAGAACUUUGAAGAGAGAGUUCAAGAGGGCGUGAAACCGCUGAGAAGGAAACGGAUAGAGUUGACGAAACUGGACGGCGUUCAGCUGCUCAACACAGCGGCCCUGCGGCAGCGAGCCUCGAUGAGGGGGCGCGGCUGUGGGCGUCUGUCGUGUACGAGCGGUGUAUUUGUCGUCGGUAUGCGCCGAGAGUUCGGGCACCGCACGCUAGAGUGCGCGUAGAGGACCAUGCCCUCCGGGUGUGGAAACCUGCGCACGCAAAGGCGCGUCGGUGGUCGAGCAACAUGGUGUCUCCGCUAGGGUGCGAGGACUGUCGCUUGGCUAGCACUGGCGUUGGGCGGUCGCAUGCGACUUGCCUAUGCUAGGCGUUGGCCUGAGGCAGCGCUUUGCGCAGAGACGCAAAUCUCGGUGUAAAAGUUGACCACCUAUCCGACCCGUCUUGAAACACGGACCAAGGAGUCUAGCAUAUGCGCGAGUCAUUGGGUGGUAAACCUAAAGGCGAAAUGAAAGUGAAGGCAGUCUUGAUGCUGCUGAUAUGGGAUCCGAGUGGCUCUGGCCAUUCGGCGCACCAUAGCCCCGUCCUCGUCGCUUGCGGUAGGGCGGAGGAAGAGCGCAUACGCUGGGACCCGAAAGAUGGUGAACUAUGCCUGAGCAGGAUGAAGCCAGAGGAAACUCUGGUGGAGGUCCGAAGCGGUUCUGACGUGCAAAUCGAUCGUCUGACUUGGGUAUAGGGGC
Molecule: ribosomal RNA, 1002 nt
Filed under: Cattiena fansipanis
Lineage: Eukaryota; Metazoa; Nematoda; Chromadorea; Rhabditida; Carnoyidae
Description: eukaryotic LSU rRNA
Rfam family: Eukaryotic large subunit ribosomal RNA
Source: RNAcentral